GUGGGGAAUUUUGGACAAUGGGCGCAAGCCUGAUCCAGCCAUGCCGCGUGCAGGAUGAAGGCCUUCGGGUUGUAAACUGCUUUUGUACGGAACGAAAAGACUUCUUCUAAUACAGGAGGUCCAUGACGGUACCGUAAGAAUAAGCACCGGCUAACUACGUGCCAGCAGCCGCGGUAAUACGUAGGGUGCAAGCGUUAAUCGGAAUUACUGGGCGUAAAGCGUGCGCAGGCGGUUAUAUAAGACAGAUGUGAAAUCCCCGGGCUCAACCUGGGAACUGCAUUUGUGACUGUAUAGCUAGAGUACGGUAGAGGGGGAUGGAAUUCCGCGUGUAGCAGUGAAAUGCGUAGAUAUGCGGAGGAACACCGAUGGCGAAGGCAAUCCCCUGGACCUGUACUGACGCUCAUGCACGAAAGCGUGGGGAGCAAACAGGAUUAGAAACCCGAGUAGUCC
Molecule: ribosomal RNA, 450 nt
Filed under: uncultured bacterium
Lineage: Bacteria
Description: bacterial SSU rRNA
Rfam family: Bacterial small subunit ribosomal RNA
Source: RNAcentral